Molecule: ribosomal RNA, 251 nt
Filed under: uncultured bacterium
Lineage: Bacteria
Description: partial 16S ribosomal RNA
Rfam family: Bacterial small subunit ribosomal RNA
Source: RNAcentral
GCAAGUCGAGGGGUAACAGGGAAGCUUGCUUCCGCUGACGACCGGCGCACGGGUGCGUAACGCGUAUGCAACCUACCUUAUACUGGGGGAUAGCCCGAAGAAAUUCGGAUUAAUACCCCAUGGUUCUAUAAAUAUUCCUAUAUUAAUAGAUAAAGCUUUGGCGGUAUAAGAUGGGCAUGCGUGACAUUAGCUAGUUGGUAAGGUAACGGCUUACCAAGGCUACGAUGUCUAGGGGUUCUGAGAGGAUGAUC